GACGAACGCUGGCGGCGUGCUUAACACAUGCAAGUCGAACGGAAAGGCCUCUUUCGGGGGGUACUCGAGUGGCGAACGGGUGAGUAACACGUGAGUAACCUGCCCUUGACUUUGGGAUAACUUCAGGAAACUGGGGCUAAUACCGGAUAGGAGCUCCUGCUUCAUGGUGGGGGUUGGAAAGUUUCGGCGGUUGGGGAUGGACUCGCGGCUUAUCAGCUUGUUGGUGGGGUAGUGGCUUACUAAGGCUUUGACGGGUAGCCGGCCUGAGAGGGUGACCGGCCACAGUGGGACUGAGAUACGGCCCAGACUCCUACUGGAGGCAGCAGUGGGGAAUAUUGCACAAUGGGUGGAAGCCUGAUGCAGCAACGCCGUGUGCGGGAUGACGGCCUUCGGGUUGUAAACCGCUUUCGCUCAUGACGAAGCUUUGUGUGACGGUAGUGGGUAAAGAAGCACCGGCUAACUACGUG
This 467-nucleotide ribosomal RNA is filed under the name uncultured bacterium. Its description in RNAcentral is "partial 16S ribosomal RNA". It matches the Rfam family "Bacterial small subunit ribosomal RNA", at positions 28 to 507 of the family's 1533-position model. The record is from RNAcentral.